This 253-nucleotide ribosomal RNA is filed under the name uncultured Spartobacteria bacterium. RNAcentral describes it as "partial 16S ribosomal RNA". It matches the Rfam family "Bacterial small subunit ribosomal RNA", at positions 524 to 776 of the family's 1533-position model. Lineage: Bacteria; Pseudomonadati; Verrucomicrobiota; Spartobacteria. The record is from RNAcentral.
UACAGAGGUCUCAAGCGUUAUUCGGAUUCAUUGGGCGUAAAGGGUGCGUAGGUGGCGAUGUAAGUCUGGUGUGAAAUCUCGGAGCUUAACUCCGAAACUGCAUUGGAUACUGCGUCGCUCGAGGAUUGUAGAGGAGAGUGGAAUUCACGGUGUAGCAGUGAAAUGCGUAGAUAUCGUGAGGAAGACCAGUUGCGAAGGCGACUCUCUGGGCAAUUCCUGACACUGAGGCACGAAGGCCAGGGGAGCAAACGGG